CCUACGGGAGGCUGCACUUAGGAAUAUUACACAAUGGGGGCAACCCUGAUGUAGCGACACCGCGUGGAGGAAGAAGGUUCUCGGAUUGUAAACUCCUUUUAUAUGGGACGAAUAGAUGACGGUACCAUAUGAAUAAGUACCUGCUAACUACGUGCCAGAAGCAUCGGUGAUGCGUAGGGUACAAACGUUAUCCGGAUUUAUUGGGCGUAAAGAGAAGCGUAGGCGUUUUUGUAAGUCUUGAGUUAAAGACCACGGCUCAACCGUGGAAGAGCUUUCGAUACUGCAAGAAUUGAGACAGGAAUGGGCGAAUGGAAUUCCGAGUGGAGCGGUGAAAUGCGUUGAUAUUCGGAGGAACAUCAGUGGCGAAGGCGAUUCGCUGGUCCUUGUCUGACGCUAAGGCUCGAAAGCGUGGGUAGCAAAAC
RNAcentral lists this ribosomal RNA (422 nucleotides) under uncultured prokaryote. RNAcentral describes it as "bacterial SSU rRNA". It matches the Rfam family "Bacterial small subunit ribosomal RNA", at positions 338 to 774 of the family's 1533-position model. The record is from RNAcentral.